This 329-nucleotide ribosomal RNA is filed under the name uncultured eukaryote. RNAcentral's name for it is "partial 18S ribosomal RNA". It matches the Rfam family "Eukaryotic small subunit ribosomal RNA", at positions 1470 to 1796 of the family's 1831-position model. The record is from RNAcentral.
CCCUUAGAUGUUCUGGGCCGCACGCGCGCUACACUGACGAUGGCAACGAGUUUUUCCUUCGCCGAAAGGUGUGGGUAAUCUUUUGAAACAUCGUCGUGCUGGGGAUAGAUCAUUGCAAUUUUUGAUCUUGAACGAGGAAUUCCUAGUAAGCGCGAGUCAUCAGCUCGCGUUGAUUACGUCCCUGCCCUUUGUACACACCGCCCGUCGCUACUACCGAUUGAAUGGUUUAGUGAGGACUCCUGAUUGGCGCCGCCGCCCCGGCAACGGAGCAGCGGACUGCCGAAAAGUUGUUCAAACUUGAUCAUUUAGAGGAAGUAAAAGGCGGAACA